Molecule: long non-coding RNA, 379 nt
Organism: Venturia canescens
Lineage: Eukaryota; Metazoa; Arthropoda; Insecta; Hymenoptera; Ichneumonidae
Exons: 3
Source: RefSeq, a predicted model, not a curated record
CUCCUGGGCAUUGGCCAGAUUGUCGACGGCGAUAGCCAAGAAGACGUUCAGCAGGGUGUAGUUGCCAAAGAGCACGAGGACGAUGAAGUAUAUCCUCACCGGUCAGGAUCUUCAACAGGAAAACAAUAUCAUUUUUCACACCUUCGAACAACAAUCAUGUUACACCCUCCGUUCGGAGAACGUUCUACGUUUGGAAUUCUGACGUGCCUCUAUGAAUAGCAGAAAUCUUCUUGAUCGGAGUUUUUCAUUCGAGUGCGCGUUUCACCAACGACGAAUAAAAAAAAGUCGAGAGAGAAAUGACUCACUUGGAAGACAGUUAGCAACGCGAUGGGAAACGUGUUGAAGUUGGUUGGUGGCGUGCCCUGCGAAAAGUUGAACU